GCUGAUUUGGCCGAGUGGUCUAAGGCGAUGGUUUUAAGUCAUCUCAACGUAAAGUUGUGCUGCUACACCAUUAUCGAAAGAUGCGUGAGUUCGAACCUCACAGUCAGCA
Molecule: transfer RNA, 109 nt
Filed under: Erysiphe necator (grape powdery mildew)
Lineage: Eukaryota; Fungi; Ascomycota; Leotiomycetes; Helotiales; Erysiphaceae
Rfam family: tRNA
About the family: Transfer RNA (tRNA) molecules are approximately 80 nucleotides in length. Their secondary structure includes four short double-helical elements and three loops (D, anti-codon, and T loops). Further hydrogen bonds mediate the characteristic L-shaped molecular structure. tRNAs have two regions of fundamental functional importance: the anti-codon, which is responsible for specific mRNA codon recognition, and the 3' end, to which the tRNAs corresponding amino acid is attached (by aminoacyl-tRNA synthetases). tRNAs cope with the degeneracy of the genetic code in two manners: having more than one tRNA (with a specific anti-codon) for a particular amino acid; and 'wobble' base-pairing, i.e. permitting non-standard base-pairing at the 3rd anti-codon position.
Source: Rfam by way of RNAcentral